CAAUAGCGUAUAUUAAAGUUGUUGCAGUUAAAAAGCUCGUAGUUGGACCUUGGACCUGGACAGGCGGUCCGCCUCACGGCGUGUACUGUCUUGCUGGGUCUUUCCUCUUGGUGAUCUGUUGUUUCGGCAGCAGGGAACCAGGACUUUUACUUUGAAAAAAUUAGAGUGUUCAAAGCAGGCUCGACGCCGGAAUAUAUUAGCAUGGAAUAAUAAAAUAGGACGUGCGGUUCUAUUUUGUUGGUCUUUGGAAUCGCCGUAAUGAUUAAUAGGGACAGUCGGGGGCAUUAGUACUCACAUGCUAGAGGUGAAAUUCUUGGAUUUUGUGAAGACUAACUUCUGCGAAAGCAUUUGCCAAGGAUGUUUUCAUUAA
RNAcentral lists this ribosomal RNA (370 nucleotides) under uncultured eukaryote. Its description in RNAcentral is "partial 18S ribosomal RNA". It matches the Rfam family "Eukaryotic small subunit ribosomal RNA", at positions 592 to 976 of the family's 1831-position model. The record is from RNAcentral.